RNAcentral lists this ribosomal RNA (252 nucleotides) under uncultured microorganism. RNAcentral describes it as "partial 16S ribosomal RNA". It matches the Rfam family "Bacterial small subunit ribosomal RNA", at positions 524 to 776 of the family's 1533-position model. The record is from RNAcentral.
UACGUAGGGUGCGGGCGUUAAUCGGAAUUACUGGGCGUAAAGCGAGCGUAGGUGGUUUAAUAAGUCUGAUGUAAAAGGCAGUGGCUCAACCAUUGUGUGCAUUGGAAACUGUUAGACUUGAGUGCAGUAGAGGAGAGUGGAAUUCCAUGUGUAGCGGUGAAAUGCGUAGAUAUAUGGAGGAACACCGGUGGCGAAAGCGGCUCUCUGGCCUGUAACUGACACUGAGGCUCGAAAGCGUGGGGAGCAAACAGG